CCCUAAUAAGAAGAUGGCACGUACCAAAUUUCAUAUUCAUACAAUUUAUAUAAAAAAAAACUAAAAAUAAAAUACUUUGAGACGUCGGAUCUAAGAUCAAACAGUGAGUGGCUCUCUUGAUCAAAAUUGGACGGCUAGAUGGUAGGAGAAGCAUAGAUCUUCUAUGCAAUAGAGGAAGUACAGAAACCUUUCCCAUAGCGAUCUUUAGAGUUGAGAGAGAUCUUAGGCCUCGUUUGGAUCUUAGGGUAAAUAAAACCAUGUUUUAGAUCAUAACAUGAUUAUGCAAGCUCUGAUUAUGCCAAAACACGAGUAUUUAGACAUGAUUUGUUUGGAUAGCUUCUAGAAAAUACCCAGGUUAUGCAAAUCCCUCGUUUGGGUCAUCUAUUUGCAUAACAUGGGUUUACACUCCUUCAUCAAUUAGAAUUGCACAUCCAAUAGACAAAAGUGACUGUGAACUUCUUAUAGAAAAAAUAAAUAAUCUCAUAUAAUCUCAUUUUUAAAGCAAUUGAUUUUGAGUUGUUGAAGGCUUACAUCCACUAUCCAUUAAAUGAAUGGUAUUCUUUGAAAACAACCGACUUAUUUUUCCUUUUUUUUUUAUGUAAAAUCUAUUUUUUAUUAAAAACAAUAUAAACGAGAAUAUUUAUCUUUGAUACAAGGUUACAUUUAAUCUUCACCAUGAGAUGUGACAUGAGAUGCAUGAUUUAUUCUAUUAGCCAAGCUCAAACUUCAAAAAAACUUUUUUUGAAAUUUGUGUCGCACUCAAGCUACGAGACUUCAUGUAAGAUGGGUAUAAGUAAUUGUGACUUCUUUGUAUCAAAGGUAUAUUGUGUCAUUAUAUACGAGACUUCAUGUAAGAUGGGUAUAAGUAAUUGUGACUUCUUUGUAUCAAAGGUCUAUUGUGUCAUUAUAUACGAUCUCUUUUUAUUAUAUUCUUUUUUCUUUUCUUUUAGAUUUAACUUUUUGGAGUGGCUUAGGGCCCAUUUGGAUACUCAGAGAUGCCCUUUUGACACAAUAUAAGGCUAUUGAAUUAGAUAGUAAUUUUUCUUCAUUAAAUGCCACUUCCAAAUAAAAACCAAAAAUUUAAGUAAAUGAUGCUUCCAAUUAAAAACUAAAAAUAAUAUGGGUAAUUUCAAAAUUUAGCAACUUUGUGACAGAACAAUCAAAACCCAGCAAAAAUUAUAGAGGAAAAAAAAAUAUAACAAAAUCAAAUGAUUUUCUUUAUGAUUUUUAGAGAUAAAAUCAUAAAGGGAGAAGGUUAUAUAGAGUCGAGGCUCUAAACAAUCAAAUUAGAGCCUACUUCAAAAAUUUCACUAGAAGAGGCUGUUUUAAUGUCCAAAUAACCUCAAAUUGAGCAUUUCGACAUCAAGAUGCAUGGAUAUGAGAAAAAAAAUGGAAUUCAAGUUUAGAAAAUAGUGUAUUUUGUAAUGCAUUUUUGGACCGUCAAUUUUCAAGAUUUUUCAAGUUUUCAUAGAUCUGUCGACGUACACUAUUUUUUAAGCUUUAAAGUUUAUAAAUAAAAAUAAAAAAAUAUUAUUACACUAUCACAAAGAUUUUUAGUAUUGAAACCACAAUCGUCGAUAGUAUGUGAAGGUAGGCUCUAAUUUGAUUGUUUAGAGGCUCUAUACAAACCGCACCCAAUCAUAAAAUCAUGUCCUUCCACUUGAAAACCAAAAAUGACAUGGAAGAAACCAAAACUUAUGUGAGAAAAUCGUUUAAAGCAUGGCAAAAAGAUCACAAUAAUGGAAAGUUAAAGGUCACAUGAAUGAAAAGUAUUAUAAUUCCUCAAUUGGGUAUCUCUAGUCUAGAGAGAGAGAGAGCUCAUUAAAGAGAGAAGCCAAUUGACCUAAGGCACUUAGCUAUUUUCAGAUAUAGAAAUGAGAAGUAAUUGAAAACCAAUUUUUUUUGGCCCAUAAAGAGAGAGAUA
This 1924-nucleotide long non-coding RNA is filed under the name Amborella trichopoda. RNAcentral's name for it is "long non-coding RNA (ATRI_LNC001338)". Lineage: Eukaryota; Viridiplantae; Streptophyta; Magnoliopsida; Amborellales; Amborellaceae. The record is from RNAcentral.